UGAGGAAUAUUGGACAAUGGGCGCAAGCCUGAUCCAGCCAUGCCGCGUGCAGGAUGACGGUCCUAUGGAUUGUAAACUGCUUUUGUACAGGAAGAAACAGUUCUACGUGUAGAACCUUGACGGUACUGUAAGAAUAAGGAUCGGCUAACUCCGUGCCAGCAGCCGCGGUAAUACGGAGGAUCCAAGCGUUAUCCGGAAUCAUUGGGUUUAAAGGUCCGUAGGCGGUUAGAUAAGUCAGUGGUGAAAGCCCAUCGCUCAACGGUGAACGGCCAUUGAUACUGUCUGACUUGAAUUAUUAGGAAGUAACUAGAAUAUGUAGUGUAGCGGUGAAAUGCUUAGAGAUUACAUGGAAUACCA
This 357-nucleotide ribosomal RNA is filed under the name uncultured bacterium. RNAcentral's name for it is "bacterial SSU rRNA". It matches the Rfam family "Bacterial small subunit ribosomal RNA", at positions 355 to 711 of the family's 1533-position model. The record is from RNAcentral.